AUGGCCAGCAAGAAAGAAUCAGCUGGCACCCUGCUUCCCUUGCUUCCAUGCUGUGACAUAGUCAGCGGCAAUCCAUCUUUCACCAUUGGCUGCCUUCUCAGAGAUGCCAUACCGAUAGAUAAGAAGAUUAUAAAAUGGAAUGACGUGGAGAACAAUAAGGCCAGACAGCUGACAACAAUAGGCAAGGACAUCUCUGCAGUGACCAGCUUCAUGACCAUUAGCUCCUCAGAUUGGAAAAAUAAUAAAUUCACCUGCUCCGUUGGCGACAUGAAAAAGAAUCUGAAGGAAGAGUGUGAAAUCAAAAAGAUUGACGUCAAAAAGACCCCACCCACAGUGGAAGUCAUGCAGUCCUCCUGUGGUGAGAGUGGUUCAGUGGAUCUGGUAUGCCUCAUCAGCAAUUACACUCCUAGUGAAAUUUCCAUACAGUGGCUUUUGAAUGGACAGCUGACUUCCAUUUCUCCGACAAACACCACUCCAUAUAGAGAUGAUGUUGGAAACUUUGGAUCUAGUAGCAGAGUCAGUGUGCCAAAGGAGGACUGGAUUACUGGAGACGUUUACACAUGUAGGGUGAACCAUCCAGCAACUUCCUCAAAAAAUGAAGAUCUUAUAAGGAAGUGUCCAGAGAGUGGCACACAUCCAAAGGUUGUUCUCUUGCCGCCUUCCCCCAAAGACAUACAUGUCACCAAGGAAUUAAAACUCACCUGUGUGGUGUCUCAAAUGGAUUCACCAAGCUCUUUAAUCAUCAAGUGGACACGUAGUGAUGGCAAAAAAACUACGCCAUAUACCCCUGAGCCUGAACAACAGAAUGAUGGCACAUAUAAAUCUACAAGUACUUUGAGGAUAAAUUUAUCUGACUGGAAUUCCCAAAAAUCAUUCACCUGCAUCGUCCAACAUGAGGAAUUUCCAAUACCAAUAGAAAAAACGAUACAAAAAAGAGAGGAGGAAGGAACAGACCCAGUGAUUUAUAUUUAUCCACCGACACCAGAUGAACUUCAGUUGAAUGACUUUGUUACUCUUAUCUGUCUACUUAAACACUUCAACCCUAAGGAUAUUUAUGUCCAGUGGAAGAGGAACAAUGUUGUCCAGGGUGAAGACUACUAUAUAAACACAGAACCCAUGCGGGAUGAAGAUGAAGAAAACUACUUUAUGUACAGUAGAUUAGUCAUUGAGAAAUCUGACUGGAACAGAGGAUCCACAUAUACCUGCGUUGGUGUGCACAAAAACAUUACUUCCAAAGACAUAAAGAAAUCUAGGGGUAAAUGAUUCUUGUGCUUUCUCUUCCUGUCCAGAAGCUGAACUAGGCCCAAUAGCUUAUCCUUUUGUUCACCCGCUCUAUCAUUUUAAUCAUCACAUUUCAUCAGUUUGAUGUGUGGAACAUCAGCAAUCAUGUUUCAGUGCCACAAAUGCUAACGUGAUGCAAAUGUUCAAUCAAUGCAGUUUCCCCCAUUUAGAUGUUUCUUUUCUAAUGAACAGUAGUGCUCAUAAACCAAUACUACAUGUAUUUGUCAUGGGCAACCAAUGUAUUGGUCUGAUUGGCUACUAUGGUUUCAUCAAAACAUGGACCUAAAGUAAAUGCAGUGUUAGUAAGUGGUACGUCACUGGAAAUCAUAACAACAUUCCAUCACCUACUACUGUAUGAUACAGUUAUCUCUAGCGAAAAAACUGCAUUGUAUAACAUUGUUCAUUCUAGCUCCUAACAUGUGUUUUUCAUGUAAAACUGAGUUCUGUCCAGCGUAUAUCUCUUCCCGUAUGUCUAGUGUGUGGAACACUGGAUUUUACUUUGUGUCUGUUAUGUCGUGUGCAUUUAUUUCAAUAAACUCUUGUCUAUGACUAUAUCA
Non-coding RNA from Pseudophryne corroboree (corroboree frog), 1838 nucleotides. Lineage: Eukaryota; Metazoa; Chordata; Amphibia; Anura; Myobatrachidae. The record is from the annotation of a RefSeq genome assembly.